Molecule: unclassified non-coding RNA, 856 nt
Filed under: Bombus terrestris (buff-tailed bumblebee)
Lineage: Eukaryota; Metazoa; Arthropoda; Insecta; Hymenoptera; Apidae
Description: misc RNA ENSBTSG00005029404.1
Source: RNAcentral
GUCCAUAUUUGUGAUUUUGUAUGUUUCCGCAGCUAGCCGGUUUAUGUGUGUUGCUAUUCUUAAUUUGUAUUUCUCGGAGUAUCUGUUGAUUUCUUCCUUGACCGUUGGCAUUCCCAGGUCCCUUCGUAUAUCUUCGUUUCUGACGUACCAAAGUCCGUUUACUAUUGUUCUGAGGAUUUUAGCCUGUAUUACCUCUAUUUUGUUUAUAUGGCUCAUUGCUGCCGUCCCCCAUAGUGAUAUUCCGUACGUCCAGAUUGGUUUUAUGAUUGUUUUAUAUAUUUUUAAUUUGUUUUCUGUGCUUAGUUUGGAUUUUCGGCUUGUUAGCCAAUGCAUUUGUCUCCUUGUUUUCUGUAUUUUUUCUACUAUUGAUUUGAUGUGUAGUUUCCAGGUGAGUUUUUGAUCUAAGUGGAGUCCUAGGUAUUUGACAUGCUUUGUUUGCGUUAUAUGCGUGCCGUUCAAUAGGAUGUUUGGUGGUAUCUUUUUCCGUAGCGUGAAUGUAAUAUGGUUGCAUUUAUUGGGGUUUGCUUUUAUUUGUUUUUCUUGUAGCCAAUUUUCUAUUUUUACGAUAUGUUCUUGUAGUAUUUUGACUGCCGUUUCUGGGUUAGUAUGCCUGACUAGUAUAGCUGUGUCGUCCGCGAAUGUCAAUACUGUGCUGUUGGUAUUUGUUGGUAUGUUCGCCGUGUAUAAUGUGUAUAGUAUUGGGCCUAGGACGCUUCCUUGUGGUACCCCGGCCUUGAUGUCUUUAACUUGAGAAUGUGUGUCCUUGAUUUUUAUUACGAAGGUUCUGCUGCUUAGGUAGGAUUUUAUUAAGUGGUGUAUUUGCUCCGGGAAUUGUUUCCUAAUUGUUUGUAGUAGU